GACGAACGCUGGCGGCGUGCUUAACACAUGCAAGUCGAACGGUAAGGCCCUUCGGGGUACACGAGUGGCGAACGGGUGAGUAACACGUGGGUGAUCUGCCCUGCACUUCGGGAUAAGCCUGGGAAACUGGGUCUAAUACCGGAUAGGACCACUGCCUGCAUGGGUGGUGGUGGAAAGCUUUUGCGGUGUGGGAUGGGCCCGCGGCCUAUCAGCUUGUUGGUGGGGUGAUGGCCUACCAAGGCGCCGACGGGUAGCCGGCCUGAGAGGGUGACCGGCCGCACUGGGACUGAGAUACGGCCCAGACGCCUACGGGAGGCAGCAGUGGGGAAUAUUGCACAAUGGGCGCAAGCCUGAUGCAGCGACGCCGCGUGAGGGAUGACGGCCUUCGGGUUGUAAACCUCUUUCAGCACCGACGAAGCGCAAGUGACGGUAGGUGCAGAAGAAGGACCGGCCAACUACGUGCCAGCCGCCGCAGUAA
This 478-nucleotide ribosomal RNA is filed under the name uncultured bacterium. Its description in RNAcentral is "partial 16S ribosomal RNA". It matches the Rfam family "Bacterial small subunit ribosomal RNA", at positions 28 to 523 of the family's 1533-position model. The record is from RNAcentral.